UUGUCAGUGAGGCAUGUCCUUACCUGUUACUUCAGAAAUGAAGUUGCAGAACAUGAUGAAUGGAAUAUAAUGAGAGAUUAUUAUAUCGCCUGCAACACCCCUUUUGCUCCGUUCUGAU
This is a small nucleolar RNA of Lampris incognitus (smalleye Pacific opah), 118 nucleotides long. RefSeq annotates it as U8 small nucleolar RNA. The transcript has a single exon. NCBI's taxonomy places the organism in Eukaryota, Metazoa, Chordata, Actinopteri, Lampriformes, Lampridae. The record is from RefSeq and is a predicted model, not a curated record.